AAGGGUCGCGAGGACUCAGAUCCUGAAAGGACAAGAAUUGGGACAAGGGUUCUGGGCUUAGGCAAGGAGACGGGGGCCUUGGCAUGGCAGGAAGACCCUCUAGGGUCCACCAGAAGGCCCUAGUCUGAGAAUGCGCUGGCUGGGGGCUGAGCAAAACUCUGCCCCAGAAUGUCUCCCCUGAGUGGCCAGAAAUUCCCGAAAGAUCUCUUGGGAGUGUUUGAUGAGUCACAUAUGUCAGCAAAGCUGAGAGGCAGCACGCGGUUAGACACCUGAGCUCUGCGGGGGACUGCCUGGGCAUGACCUUCAUUCUGCCGCUUUCUAAUUGGACCAUCUUAAAUACGGGGCUCCAGCACUCCAUGCCUGAUUUCUUCAUCUGAAAGGGUCCAGGAGCACCAUUCACAUUGAGUGUGACAGGCGCGUCAUCCCUGGAGGUGGGUAGCGCUGUGGCCCUCUUGCUGAGAACUGAAGCAUUGUUGAGAUCUGCUAGGAACUGUGAGAAGCAAGAAGCUUCCUGGCGCCAGAAUCCACCAUCCACCACGGAAGCAGACAACCAAGGACAUCCACCUGUAGCGAGGAGGAUCUGGCCAUCCUCCUCGCUACAAGCAGCCUCACAAGGCCAAACACAGGCUGGUGGGAAAGCACCCAGCAGCAAGGCUGCAGGCUCCCCUUCACUACAAGCAGCUGCAUUCCUUGCUACCUUUCAAACCCCUUGCCUCCCAUCUUUUGGGGAGAUGAGACAAACAUGUCUUCUGGUUGA
Molecule: long non-coding RNA, 757 nt
Organism: Equus quagga
Lineage: Eukaryota; Metazoa; Chordata; Mammalia; Perissodactyla; Equidae
Exons: 3
Source: RefSeq, a predicted model, not a curated record